AGAAUUUUACUUCUGGGUAAACAAGAUAAGUAGUACGCUAUUUCAUAUUGAUGAUGCCUAGUUUUAUACCCUUUACAGAGAUACAAUAUCAGUUAAUCAGGGAAAGAAUUGCUGCUUCAGAAUCAUCUUUUCAAGACAAACGAUUUAACACUGUCAUCACAAAAAGGGUUUGGAUUAUGACAAUGGUAUGAGUGAUAGAAUGGAAUGACAUCAUAAAUAAGGAGUACCCAAGAAGAGACACAGCUGUGUUGUCUUCUUCAGAUCACCUCCAUAUAUCCCUGUUUUGUGCCAACAAGACAUGCAGGAGGCAGAGAUGGCAAGGAGGCAACAGGAGAAGGAAACAAAGGAGAGACAGAAAGAGAUAGAGAAUUUCAGGGUACAAGAGGAUAAGACAAAGGCAGAAAAAUAUGAAAGAAAAACAGGACAGAAGACAUGGGGGAACACAGAUAUGGAGAGUGUGCAACAGGACAAAGAGAGGGUCCAGAGAAAGUUGGAGCCUGCUGUCCCUGUGCUAAAAGCAAGGGUCAUUGAGUGCAAGCCCAGGCCGAAACCAGACCUGAUACCUGAGUAUGGACUCGAGCCCAAGGCUGACCCAGCACCCAGGCCCUGGGCUGGGAAGGCAGACAUGGAGCUGCUGGACAUUGAGGAUGAGGAGUGUGAGGAUGAAGAGUUGGCUCUCAUGGGCAACAAAAAGAUUAUGCGUUCCUCAGAUCUGGAAGAAGCCCAGUAUGAGCUUCAAAAGGAGGCUAAGGAGGCCAGGCGUAGAGGCCAGGCCGAAGCCAUCAAGAAAUGUUACAGACACAACGGCUCUAGUAAUAUUAGUAAAGUAGACAGCGCACCACCUAUGAAUGUUGCCAAUAGUAAGACGAAUGGAGAUAUGGAGGGAGGAACCUGUUCCUCAAACAGUAAUCAGGCAGACGAGAGAACUACCAAAGUGGACAGUGUGACUGGGAAAGUGAUUGGCUGGGUGAACAGAAAAGUCAAAGAGAGAAAUGAGAGAAAGAUUGCAAGAACAUACUGGAGGGAGGAGACUCAAAGUGAUCAGUUGUACAUAAACGGUGUAGUGGUUUGCAGCCGUGCCCAGCGGGAGAGAGAAAAGAGGGCAAAACUCCUCAAAGGUGAGCAAACCAGACGGAGGCUGGAAAGACGCUGGCAAGAGUGGGAGAAGAGGUACAGGAGAAAGAACACGCUGAAGAGGGUACAGAGAAAUGGGCUCUGGUACAGGGAGUUGGAGGACAAGAACAGCAGCCAGGGUAGUCAUGAGGAAAACUCACUGCCUGAUGGAGCAGAGGAGGCUGACGGUGAUGAAGAGGUGGAAUACCUUUUAAUGUAUGGGCCCUGCGACUGUGAACUCUGCAGGGAAGGAUACACAUGUCUCUGGUACAGUUAUGACAAGGAGGAGACAGACCCCAAGGAGGCUAGGAGCAAGAGGAGGAGGAUAAUCAAUUGGAUCAAUACAAGAGUCAAAGAAGAUUAUCGCAAGAGAAUCAACACAACCUUUAACAUCCAGAGUUUAGUAUGCAAUGAUUAUGCCAUUUACGGAAACGCCAUCCUUCGCCAAUGGGACCUACAGAAGAUCAUACGGCGGGAACUCGUAAAAAAGGAGGAAAGAAGACAAAGGCUGGAGAAGCGCUGGAAGGAGUGGGAGAAAGCGAGGGCUCAGAAGAUAAAAACAAUUCUUCAGGAGAAGAAGGCAAAGGAACAGGUCAGGCUCAAUAGGCUGAUAGACCUGAAUCUAGAGGCAGACCAGAAGAUCAAGGAGUUCAUUGCUGCCAAUCCAGGAAUCCAGUCCCAGUACCCUGGAGGUCAUACCAGGAUGGAGAUGAUGGGACGUUGGGACAUGGGCUACCAGAGGGAGGAGACUCAGGGCCAGGAGGGCAGAGUAGGGCCUGCUACUGUACAAAAGUCCACUGCACCUCUGCGGACCAAGAAAAUAACCAAAUGGCAGAAGUUGCAAAAAUGGUUUUACACGAUCCAACUGUGAAAAGUCCAGCCCCAGAAUGAUCAUAUGAAAGUUAUUUCCUAAUAAAUAUUUUGGAAGUAAAAUGAAAAUUCAAACGGAAUCAAUUAUAUACGGAUCCUAUCAGAUACUAUUCCCUCAUAAUAUGGUACAUUGUUAUUUCAAAACCAGACACUUACAAACAAAGACGUAGUUCAUUUUGUUGCAUAUAUUUCAAAAUGUAAUUUAAUGAAACAAAAUGAAAAGAAUGUUAAUAGAUUUUUUUUUGAAUGAAUACUGGUAACCAAAGCAGGCAAUCUGAGAAGUGUCCAAAAUGGCCAUCCCAAGGCAUAUCGGUGAACAAUAUUUUCAGAAUUAUGAGAAAAAAGGUCCAAAAUACUAAAUACAAAGUUGCUAAUUUUAAAAGAAUUGCAAAAUGAUUCCGUCAAGGGCAAUAGAGUAUUCUUCCUAACAAAUUCAUAAA
Molecule: long non-coding RNA, 2423 nt
Organism: Oncorhynchus tshawytscha (Chinook salmon)
Lineage: Eukaryota; Metazoa; Chordata; Actinopteri; Salmoniformes; Salmonidae
Source: Ensembl